RNAcentral lists this ribosomal RNA (404 nucleotides) under uncultured bacterium. RNAcentral's name for it is "partial 16S ribosomal RNA". It matches the Rfam family "Bacterial small subunit ribosomal RNA", at positions 30 to 526 of the family's 1533-position model. The record is from RNAcentral.
AUUGAACGCUGGCGGCAGGCCUAACACAUGCAAGUCGAGCGAGCGGCGGACGGGUGAGUAAUGCCUGGAAAUUGCCCAGUCGAGGGGUAUCACAGUUGGAAACGACUGCUAAUACCGCAUACGCUUGGGUUCCCCAGGGGGGAUUAGCUAGUUGGUGGGGUCAUGGCUCACCCAGGCGACGAUCCCUAGCGGGUCUGAGAGGAUGAACAGCCACACUGGAACUGAGACACGGGCCAGACUCCUACGGGAGGCAGAAGUGGGGAAUAUUGCACAAUGGGGGAAACCCUGAUGCAGCCAUGCCGCGUGUGUGAAGAAGGCCUUCGGGUUGUAAAGCACUUUCAGCGAGGAGGCGUUACUCGCAGAAGAAGCACCGGCUAACUCCGUGCCAGCAGCCGCGGUAAUUC